CAGUGCAUGUUAUGGCCCUUUGCAAAUUAUUUUGAAUUACAAAUAGUACGAUGAUAAAUAUUUCUAGACAUGAAUCUCAGUAAGAAUUGGUGCAUGGGGAAAUAGACGUUGUCUUCACCAUUAGGUGAAGUUUGGGCAAAAAAGUAUAGCGAGUGACAUGCCUGGGAUCAUCUUCUCGGCCGUGUGUGCCAUUUUCACUCAGGUUCCCUCACAAAUCACAAACCUCAGAUUGGAGCUGCCAAUCUCUGACAGAAGGCGUGAGAUGGUCAAUUUCCAUGUUAUCUCCCCAUGUGGGUGAGAUAAAGAUGUCUGAACCAAACAGCAUUUCAUAGUUGAGUUCACCAGCCUUGUUCUUAGCCAAAGUGCACUUAAAUCUAAAUAAAAGAAGUGCCCUCCUCUCCCCAGCAAGUUCAAAACACAUAUUCCACUAGGAAAUGACUUCAAAUUCAAGAAAAAUAAUAUAGAUGACCCAAAUCCCAAACUAAGUAACAGAUUUCUUUUUCUAAUGAAAUCCAUAUACAUGAGUCCCUGCUUGCCCAUACUUGAUAGAACAUUCUUCACAAUGUAUAUUACAGGUCCAUUGACAUUCAGCCAUCUCUGAAGUCAAGCUGCCUUUUUAAUUUUCCCUUUUCGCUGAAACAAAGAAAAACCAAAGCAGAUCCUCCAAUGGCCUGAAGCUUCUGUUCUGAGAUGCCAAAGGGAUCUUUGUGACAUCAUUUUAUGUGCUGCUCUGGCCACUGAGAUAAGGGAAGUGGUCAGGGAAGAUGCAGGGGGUCCUUUCCCACCAAUGUCACCUCCUUCUUCUCUCCUAUGUCCCAACCCAGCUGAGUUCCUGGUCUGAGGAAAGGACAUCCGAUUCAAGGAUGAGGCAGAGAGCUUUGGUAACCUUUCUACUGUAAAAUGUUCUGGUGUCGGUAUUCUGGGUGUGACUACAGACUGCAUCUGUUUCAGGAUCGUUCACGCCACUGUCCUGGAGGCCAAGCCAUGGCUGGACAGGGAUGCCAAUGGUACUUAAGUUCACAAUCAGAAGAAACAUCCAGACCUGAACAUCUAGGCUUUUGAGACACCUGUGGACACGGUCUGUAUUGUUCUUGGAGCCACCAUAUCACAUGCUAUUUCAUUCAUGCAUGAACCAAAGUGAGCCCAAAAGAAGAUUCUACAACUGAUAUGCCAUUUGCAUCUCCUUGGAUAAAUAAACAGGUCAUUGGAUAGGUUCUUUAUGAAAGUUGCACGAAAAGAAAAAGAUUCCAUUGAGCUAAUAGAUACCAGUGGUUCCAUUAGCGAUAGUGAAAGUCCUCCUACACGAUAACCCUCCUCUCGCUUGUCUCUCUCACACUAGCCACGAAGGUUUUCAAAGGGUGAUGUGAAAAGGGUGAUACCACAUCAUUACCCUCUGGCUACGUGAACAACCACUAAAUCCACAGUUUUCUGCCUCCCUUACCUACCUCAGUGUUUCUUCAGAGGCAUCAUCCAUGAAAUGAGCUGGCUUCAUAGCAACCCCCGGAGAAGUGUAAGUGAUUUUUUUUUUUUAUCUGACGGAUACGUGUCUUC
Molecule: long non-coding RNA, 1551 nt
Organism: Panthera uncia (snow leopard)
Lineage: Eukaryota; Metazoa; Chordata; Mammalia; Carnivora; Felidae
Exons: 5
Source: RefSeq, a predicted model, not a curated record